RNAcentral lists this small nucleolar RNA (127 nucleotides) under Hucho hucho (huchen). RNAcentral's name for it is "Small nucleolar RNA SNORA5 (ENSHHUG00000013884.1)". It matches the Rfam family "Small nucleolar RNA SNORA5". Rfam says of the family: ACA5 is a member of the H/ACA class of snoRNA that guide the sites of modification of uridines to pseudouridines. Lineage: Eukaryota; Metazoa; Chordata; Actinopteri; Salmoniformes; Salmonidae. The record is from Rfam by way of RNAcentral.
UGCAGCCUUAUCAAAUUCCGUUUUCCUCUACUAUUGGCGAAAAUGGCUGCCACAUUGAACCUGUAGUUCAUGGGCCUCAUAUUCCUUUUCGUUGGAUAUUGGGGAUACAUUUGAACUACAGACAAUU